AAUAAAUGUAGCCGUGGAAAUUCGUGUCCAACGUUUGACCGUUCGUCUUAUUUAAAAAUUUUAUGAAUUUUUUUUAAAAAAUUAGUCACACAUAAAGUACUAUUCAUACUUUAUCAUCUAAUAACAAUAAAAUUAGUAAUAAAAAAAUUAAAUAAGACGAACGGUCAAACGUUGAAGAUGAAUAGUGCAAAACUGUACUUAUU
This 203-nucleotide microRNA precursor is filed under the name Oryza nivara. Its description in RNAcentral is "MIR812 microRNA precursor family". It matches the Rfam family "MIR812 microRNA precursor family". Lineage: Eukaryota; Viridiplantae; Streptophyta; Magnoliopsida; Poales; Poaceae. The record is from Rfam by way of RNAcentral.